Molecule: ribosomal RNA, 370 nt
Filed under: Pseudomonas brassicacearum
Lineage: Bacteria; Pseudomonadati; Pseudomonadota; Gammaproteobacteria; Pseudomonadales; Pseudomonadaceae
Description: bacterial SSU rRNA
Rfam family: Bacterial small subunit ribosomal RNA
Source: RNAcentral
GGGACCUUCGGGCCUUGCGCUAUCAGAUGAGCCUAGGUCGGAUUAGCUAGUUGGUGGGGUAAUGGCUCACCAAGGCGACGAUCCGUAACUGGUCUGAGAGGAUGAUCAGUCACACUGGAACUGAGACACGGUCCAGACUCCUACGGGAGGCAGCAGUGGGGAAUAUUGGACAAUGGGCGAAAGCCUGAUCCAGCCAUGCCGCGUGUGUGAAGAAGGUCUUCGGAUUGUAAAGCACUUUAAGUUGGGAGGAAGGGCAUUAACCUAAUACGUUAGUGUUUUGACGUUACCGACAGAAUAAGCACCGGCUAACUCUGUGCCAGCAGCCGCGGUAAUACAGAGGGUGCAAGCGUUAAUCGGAAUUACUGGGCGU